Molecule: ribosomal RNA, 374 nt
Filed under: uncultured prokaryote
Description: bacterial SSU rRNA
Rfam family: Bacterial small subunit ribosomal RNA
Source: RNAcentral
CGUAGGCACCAAGCGUUGUCCGGAUUUAUUGGGCGUAAAGAGCUCGUAGGCGGUUCGGUAAGUCAGGUGUGAAAACUUUGGGCUCAACCCAAAGCCUGCAUCUGAUACUGCUGUGACUAGAGUUCGGUAGGGGAGCGGGGAAUUCCUAGUGUAGCGGUGAAAUGCGCAGAUAUUAGGAGGAACACCGGUGGCGAAGGCGCCGCUCUGGGCCGAUACUGACGCUGAGGAGCGAAAGCGUGGGUAGCAAACAGGAUUAGAUACCCUGGUAGUCCACGCCGUAAACGUUGGGCACUAGGUGUGGGUUUCAACCAACGAAAUCCGCGCCGUCGCUAACGCAUUAAGUGCCCCGCCUGGGGAGUACGGCCGCAAGGCUA